GUGGGGAAUAUUGGACAAUGGGCGAAAGCCUGAUCCAGCCAUGCCGCGUGUGUGAAGAAGGUCUUCGGAUUGUAAAGCACUUUAAGUUGGGAGGAAGGGCAGUAAGUUAAUACGUUGCUACUUUGACGUUACCAACAGAAUAAGCACCGGCUAACUUCGUGCCAGCAGCCGCGGUAAUACGAAGGGUGCAAGCGUUAAUCGGAAUUACUGGGCGUAAAGCGCGCGUAGGUGGUUCAGCAAGUUGAAGGUGAAAUCCCCGGGCUCAACCUGGGAACUGCCUCCAAAACUACUGAGCUAGAGUACGGUAGAGGGUAGUGGAAUUUCCUGUGUAGCGGUGAAAUGCGUAGAUAUAGGAAGGAACACCAGUGGCGAAGGCGACUACCUGGACUGAUACUGACACUGAGGUGCGAAAGCGUGGGGAGCAAACAGGAUUAGAAACCCGAGUAGUCC
This 450-nucleotide ribosomal RNA is filed under the name uncultured bacterium. Its description in RNAcentral is "partial 16S ribosomal RNA". It matches the Rfam family "Bacterial small subunit ribosomal RNA", at positions 354 to 796 of the family's 1533-position model. The record is from RNAcentral.